This 253-nucleotide ribosomal RNA is filed under the name uncultured bacterium. RNAcentral describes it as "partial 16S ribosomal RNA". It matches the Rfam family "Bacterial small subunit ribosomal RNA", at positions 524 to 776 of the family's 1533-position model. The record is from RNAcentral.
UACGUAGGGGGCAAGCGUUGUCCGGAUUUAUUGGGCGUAAAGAGCGUGUAGGCGGCCAUACAGGUCCGUUGUGAAAACUGGAGGCUUAACCUCCAGACGUCGAUGGAAACCGUAUGGCUAGAGUCCGGAAGAGGAGAGUGGAAUUCCUGGUGUAGCGGUGAAAUGCGCAGAUAUCAGGAAGAACACCUGUGGCGAAAGCGGCUCACUGGACCACAACUGACGCUGAUGCGCGAAAGCUAGGGGAGCAAACAGG